Molecule: long non-coding RNA, 11647 nt
Filed under: Nicotiana benthamiana
Lineage: Eukaryota; Viridiplantae; Streptophyta; Magnoliopsida; Solanales; Solanaceae
Description: long non-coding RNA (NBEN_LNC025385)
Source: RNAcentral
UAUAAAAAACUCAAUGUAGAAUAUACAACAAGAAUCAAGUAUAGGAUAUUAAGGAAUUUAAUAACUGAAACAGAGAUAAAGCAAACACAAGGAAAUACUACUCACAACAAAGAUGAUAACCGGGGAUCUCUCAUUAUCCUCAAUAUAUAUAUGCCAGGGAUCUCUUGGUAUCCUCAAUAUAUUCGAGGAAUCUCUUGGUAUCCCGAGGAUCUCUUGGUAUCUUUAACAUAUGCUAGAGAUCUCUUGGUAUCCUGAGGACCUCUUGGUAUCUCGGUGAUCUCUUGGUAUCAUUAAUAUAGGCUAGGGAUCUCUUAGUAUCCCGAGAAUAUCUUGUUAUCCUCAAUAUAUGCUAGGGAUCUCUUGGUAUCCCCAAUAUAGGCUAGGGAUCUCUUGUUAUCCCGCAUCUCAGUUAAAUCUAUAAAUAUGUAAAGGGGUGGGGAAUCUCCCAGGAAGCCGUCCCGUAGUCCCAAUGUAAAUAACAUAGCAACAAUACAUUAAUACUCAAUUAUGCUCACUAUCGUACCAAGUAAACAGUUAAUUCUAGCCUAACAUGCUUCAUGUAAUGCAAUCAAGGUAAUUUAAGCAAAUAGGCAAUUAAGUCAACUAAAUAUGCUUUUCUAAACUAACAACACGUUAAACUCGCAAGUAAAAUAAAACAAGAAAAAUGGAACUCAAUUGAAAUACUUAAAGAAAACUCGAAUUUCAACAGUUAGCUCAAGCACGCACUCAUCCCCUCAUGUACAAGGCAUUUCAAUUAUCAAAUGUAUCAUAUCCUAAGGGGAAGGUACCCCACACAAGGUUAGACAAGCCAUUUACCUCGAACCAGCUCAAAAUCAACUCGGCACCACGUCUUUGCCACGGGUACUCAACUUCAAAUGGCCUAAAUCUAUUCAAUCCAAUUGCAUAAUGUAAAUAACACUUCAAUUAACUGAUUCUACAAUCAAAUUCUGAGUUAAUACGCGAAAUUAGGUAAAAUGACCAAAAUGCCCCUCGGGACAACGUCUCGAAAUCGGGAAAAAUUUAUAUUUCCAGAAUCCUCACACUCUCACAAGUCUAAUCAAAUCAAAAUUAUCCAAAUCCAAUGCCAAAUCCCCAAUCAAAACCCAAAUUCUUGAUCUAAGAACUUUUCCCCAAAUUUUCAUGCAAUUCCCGAAAUAAAAUGGUGAAUUCAUGUUUAGAUUAAUGAGUUAUAAGCAAAAAGGAUUUUAGAAUCAUUACCCAAUCGAUAUCUCCGAAAAUCCCUAAAAACGUUGCUCAAAUCCGAGCUCCUAAGCUUAAGUUUUUAUAAAAAUGGUUAAACCCUCGAUUUUGAAAUUUUAUAUUCUGCCUAGGUAUUCCUUAAUCGCGAUCGCAGAACUACCUACAUGAUCGCAUAAGACAUGUCCCUCAAAGAAACAAAAUCGUGACCAGCUCUAUGCGAUCACAUAGAGAAAAUUAUAUCACUCACUGCCACACUAAAUCGUUCUGCGCGAACGCAAUAUUCCUCAUGCGAAGGCAAUGACCAACAAACUCACCAUAUGUGAUCACACUCUUUCUUCUGAGAUUGAAAUUCACAAAAAGUGCCUGGUCUAAUAUUCUCUACGCAAUUUCAGGAAAUCCCAUGCGAUCGCAAUGAAAAAAACACUAUUGCAGAAAUACCAGCAAAUCUGCAACCUCCCAAAGGCCAAAAGUGCCCGUUUGAGCACCCAAAACACACCCGAGGCCCCAUAACCUCAACGAAACCAACAUAUCCCAUAAAUUCCUUCAAUUUUUUUCCAACCUUUGGAAUGCUCAAAACAAUACCAAAACACCUAUUUUUCAGCGGAUUCAAGCCUAAGAAUUCCAAACACUAUAAAAAUACGCUUUCGAUCAAAAAGUCUAUCAAACCUCGUCUGAAUGACCUAAACUAUUGCAUACACGUCACAUUCAACACUACAGAGCUAUUCCAACUUCCAGAAUUCCAUUCCAACCCUCGGAUAAAAAUCUCACUAUCGAACCGGAAACUUCAAAAAUUCAACUUUUGGCAUUUUAAGUCUAAAUUAGCUACGGACCUCCAAACCACAACCCGAAUAUACCCCUAAGCCCGAAAUCACUCAACGGAGCUAACAGAACCAUCAGAUUUCUAUUCUGAGGUCAUCUUUACACUGUUCCAACUAUGAUUAACUUUCCAACACUUAACCCCUCAUUUAGGGACUAAGUAAAACUCUCUGAAACUCAAAAUCAAACAUCCCGAAAAAUCAAAAUAGCACAAAUAAACUUGGGAGAAGCAUUAAUAGGAUAUCGGGGCGUUAGUUCUUAAGAUGACCGGCCGGUCGUCACACUGAGUAUCUCGAAGCCUAUAGUUAGGAGAUGACAUGGUCGAAGCUUUUUUGUCUAUGUAGAGGGUAGUCCGUUUAACAGGUUCUUUCCAAAGUAGAUUCGAAGUAAUUAAAGGCUUGUGAUUUUGUAGCGACAAUCAGGCGUCCCCGAGUCGUAUUAGUUUGGCUGGUACAGCCUUGUGACCGUAUUCAUUUGUGUUUGGCCGGAACCUUUUAGUCCCCGAGUGAAGUAGUUUUGGAGUCUAUAUCAAGGGUAUGCCUUUUAGAGGUAUUACAAGUUCGAUAUAUAGCCUUAACUUUGAGAUAGGGUUUAUGCCUUUAGUAAGGUCUUACAAGUUUUACAUGUCUUUGAGGUCUUACAGUUUUGAAUACUUGGUACAAGUAUGGUUCAUGCCUUGAUUGAGGUCUUACAAAUAUUGUUGUUGCCUUAUAUAUGUCUUAUAAGACCAGUCUGCCCACUUGAGGUCUUAUGACCUCGGCUUUUUGAUAAUUCGAUAGAGACGGCAGUCCACGAGUUAUCGAGGAUUUCUCAGUUCGGGAGCCAUUACUUUGAAAACUUGGAAUUGCCAUAUUGAGGGCUUAUGAUUUCGGAGUUUCCAACCCGGUGGUCGCAUGGCUUUGAGUUUUUUAUACCAGUCAUCGGGUGUUUGGGAUGUUUUUUGCUCUAAAGUUUUUUUGUGAUCUUGAUUCUACCUCAUUGAGGGCUUACAAAUUCAGAGUUAUUGACCUGGGGGCCAUGUGGAUUUUGAGAUUUCGACGCCAGUCCCCACAUGCUCGGGACAUUUUCGACUCUUGAAGCCGUUUAUGUGAUUUUGAUGUUGCCUUACAAGGGCUUACGAGUUUGGAACUCCGAACUGGAGGUCAUUUAGGCUUUGGAUUGUUGAAGCCAGUCCCCGAGUAUUUGGGAUGUGGCUUUGACUCUGGAGUUGCUUUUUGUUUGCAAAAAUACCAAGAUUCUUUGAGAUAUUAAAUGCUUUGGAGAGUAUUCUUUGAUUACUUGGUACAAGUGCACACGUUUUCACUGUUAUGAGCUUGGUUAUUCUAUAUGAUCAUGGUUCGUUCGACCGUUUUUCCCGGUAUACUAUUUUUCAAUCGAGGCCCUGCUCAACACAUAUUGGCUUCCUCUAGGAGGAGAUCUUCUAGGGGGAAUGCCCCCAGUAUUCGAGGUUGAUUGAAAGGAAGCCUUGAAUACUUUUUUGAGUACUUAAUAGGUAGCAUAUAGAUGUUGCCUCAUUAAAACCCUUUUCCGGUGAAACCCUUCUUAGGAUAAAACUCGAUCAAUGGAAAGAGUACAACGUAUGCUUCUUGGGGCCUAAGGCCUUCAAAUUGGAAAGGGCUUUUGCUAUUUCAAUCGGAUACCUACACUCAUGUUAGUGUUGAGUGCAAUUGAACCAAAGAAAGAGACAACCAUACCUUAGUGUUGGUGUGUUUAGAGCCCUUAUAUGUUUUAGUCGCUUUUUGUGAGAAUGUGGUACGGUCCUCUGCUUCAUAUAGUCGGGCUUAACCGAAGGCGUAGUUUUCUAUUGCCAUUUUAUUAUUUUAUUACCCUUUGGCUCCUUUGAGGUUGGAGGUACUGGCGUCAGCGUCACAUCGUAUACCAUGAACAUUUCUCUCGCUGCAUGUUGUUCCCCGUAUACGGUCCUAAUCUUGUCCUUUGUCAGGAAUUUAUAAUUUGAUAGAGGGUGGACGGUACCGAUCUCAUGCAGAGUAUCCAUGGUCUUCCAAGAAAGGCGUUGUACUUCAUGUCUCUCUCGAUGACAUGAAAUUUGGAAUUUUGGGUUGUACCGACCAUGUUAACUGGGAGGGUGAUUUCCCUAUGGGUUUUUAGCUCGCCAUGUUGAAUCCAUUGAUGACUCAAAAGGCGGGUACGAUUUGGUCAAGCAUUCCGAGUUGCUCUACCACCCUCGACUUGAUAACGUUGGUCAAGCUACCUAGAUCCACAAGUACACAUUUAAUUUGGAAUGUAUUUACAAGAAAAUAGAUUACCAGUGCAUCAUUGUGGGGCUGGGACAUGGUCUCGAUGUCCUCGUUGCUAAAUGUAAGAGCAUCCUCGGGUAUGUAACCCCGGGUUUGCUUUUCUCUAGUGAUAGAUAUUUUUGUUUUUCUCAUUAUGGGCUCCUGUGGGGAUUCGAUGCCUCCUAAGAUCAUGUGGAUGACAUGUUGUUGCUCAUUUUUUUAUUUUUUCUUGGUCUCCUCUCUUUCCCUGAACUGACUUUUGGCCUGGUCACUAAGGAAUUCUCGGAGGUGACCUUUACUAAGUUGUCGGGCUACUUCUUCCCAGAGCUGGUGGAAAUUCUCGGGUCCUGUGUCCGUGCGUGUUGUGAUAUUCACACUCUAAGUUGUGAUUUCUUUGCGAAGAAUAUGAUCACAUGCCUGGGCCACAUGGUGUCUCUGAUUUUAUUGAUGGAGAACACGAUGUGGGAUACUUCGAGGUUGAAGUUAUACUCUAACAAACGAGGUGCUUCUGUCGGCCCUACAUACCUACCGAACCCAGCUCUAUUGAUGAGUCCCCGAGGAUUCUGGCCUCGCUCCAUUCUUCGAUCAUUGCAGGGUAUGUUGCGUCUCGGUGUAUUUCUCCUAUCAUCGGUGUAUGGCUGGUACCUUUCCUUGUUUGGUUUUGGCUCAUUCGCUAGAAACCUGCUUGGUACCGAGCCCGGGGAGGCUCUAAGUUGGUCGUCCUCAACUGUGACUUUAGUUUGAUAUUGAUUGUGAAUAUCCGACCAGGUCAUGGCAGGAUAUUCAACCAGAUUCUGUUUCAAAUGUUUCGAAGCCACCGAGCUUUUUUCAUUCAGACCUUGAGUGAAGUCCUGCACCGCCCAGUCAUUGGAGAUUGGUGGUAGUUCCAUACAUUCCAUUUGAAAGCUAGAUACGAAUUCUUGCAGCAUCUCAUUCUCCCUCUUCUUGAUCUUGAAUAUCUCGGAUUUCCUUGUUGCUACUUUGAUGGCUCCGGCAUAUGCAUUAAUGAAAGAAUCUGCCAGCAUGGCUAAUAAAUCUAUUGAGUUUGGGUCCAGGUUGUUAUACCACAUCAUUUCCCCUUUAGAAAGUGUUUCUCUGAAAUUCUUCAGCAAGACAUACUCGAUCUCGACGUCUUUUAGGCAGUUUCCCUUUACUGCACAAGUGUAAGAGAUAACAUGCUCAUUGGUGUCCGAGGUUCCGCUAUAUUUCAGAAGACCUGGCAUUCUGAACUUCUUUGGAAUGGACUUCAGGGCCUCUUCCUAGGUAACAUCUUCUGUAUGAACUUUUUUGAAUCCACACCUUUCAAGAUCAGGGGUGUGCCCGGAAUUUGGUCGAUCCUGGAGUUGUAGGUCUCGACCUUCUUGUUGUUGGCUUCUAUCUUCUUCUCACCUAACUCGAUCCUAUUUGUCAGGUCUUCAAGCAUCUUCAUGAUGGUGGGGGCGGCUGCCGACCCAUUGUUGCUUGAUCUCUCAGGUACCUGCUCGGCUGGGGGAGCCGUUUCCGGUGCUAUUGAAUUGGAAAUUUUUUGGUGACUUUGCAUCUGAGCAAUAGCCAGCUGUUGUGCUUGCAAUAUUCAAAAGUAACAUGAAGGCUAACCUCAUGUUCUUCCCUAGUCAGGGUUUUCUGAGCUUCUUGUUGGUCUCCUUGGUGCACGCUCUUGUUAGUUUGGGAGCUUAUAUCGACGUGUUGGGCGUCACGUGAGACCGCGUCUAUGGGAAUUGGAUCCGAUGUGUUCACAGGGUUUCGUGGUGGUACACCAGCACCUGGAACAUCCACACCAUUUUCUCCAUGGACAGACAUUUUGAGCUAAAAUCAAAGAUCUUGGACAAGAAAAAACGUGAAAGAUAACUUGCGUUGUGUAAUGAAACUACUAAGAAAAUAAUCACUAUUAUUCUUAGCCCCACAGUGGGCGCCAAAUUGUUUACUGUGAAAAUGGUAAUAAGAAUUAAAUUUGAUUAUGUUACUCUAAAAAUACGUGAUAAGUUGUAAAGCAGUUGAUGCUAUGUGAAAGACUUAGAACGAGAUAAGAGCUUGAGAGCAAGGUGAUAACCAAACCGAAUGGCUGCCAAUCGGGGCCUCGAGCUCGCCUAUUCAGUGACCUCAAAGUCGUGUCUGAUGCUCGGCUGGGAGUUAUGAAGGGUAGUCGAUGGACGACUAACAAUUGUAACACUACUAGCAUUCCGGAAAAAAGCGACCAAACUGUAGCGACCAAAGUUGGUCUGUCAAGAAAAGAGACCAAAGUUGGUCGUUAAAUUGGUGAAUAUAAUAAAAUAAUUAUUUUAAAUACAUUAGCGACCAAGGUUAGUCGCUAUUUGGUCGAUAAUUUCAUCAAAAUAUUGACCAGACGGGUCAGACUUGCUUGGUCAAAGAAAUACUGAGAUUAGCGACUAACAUUGGUCGCUAAAGAGGGACCCACUUAUAAAAUUUUAAUAAUUAUAAUAUUAUUUACAAAAAAUUAUAAAAUAUAAAUAAAUAUAAUUUAAAAUUAGCAACCAAAGUUGGUCGCUAAUUAAAGGGUAAGCAGAUAGAGAUCAACUUUGAUCACUAAUAUAGGAGCCAGUUAUAAAAUUUUAAUAAUUAUAUUAUUAUUUAAAAAAAUUAUAAAAUAUAAAUAAAUAUNNNNNNNNNNNNNNNNNNNNNNNNNNNNNNNNNNNNNNNNNNNNNNNNNNNNNNNNNNNNNNNNNNNNNNNNNNNNNNNNNNNNNNNNNNNNNNNNNNNNNNNNNNNNNNNNNNNNNNNNNNNNNNNNNNNNNNNNNNNNNNNNNNNNNNAAAAUUAUAAAAUAUAAAUAAAUUUAAUUCAAAGUUAGCAACCAAAGUUGGUCGUUUAGCAAAAUAGAGACCAACUUUGAUCGCUAAUAUGGGACCCAGUCCUAACAUUUAGCAAUUAUAUUAUUAUUUUAAGUAUUAUAUAAAAUAUAAAUAAAUCUAAUUUAAAUUUAGCAACCAACUUUGGUCGCUAAUUUUAAUUUAGGUAUAAUUAGUGACCAAAGCUGGCCUCUUUUCAAGUCAACAUUGGUCAAUAUUAAAAAUCACUUUUGUACACUUAGUGUGUGUCUGUGUAUAUAUACACACACUCUCUUACACUAUAGUAUGCACUAAGUAUUAGUGCAUUAGCUAAUAUUAUAUUGAGUAUAGCUUAGAAGAUAAUAUUACUAGUUAUCGGGAUAGAGAAAAGGCUAGGAAAUCAAAUAGGAGGGUAGAAGAUAAUACUCAAUCUUUUCCACCCUCUUUAGAGAUGCCUAUGUCUUUGCCUCACCCCCAAGGCUAUUAUGAGCUGCCACAACAUCACCAGUCCUACACCUUCAUGCAGACACCAGGUCUUUCGUCACAGGGCCAUAGGAGUGUACGUCCGACAUACAGUCCAACUGCCGCAUGACCACUUGGAUCGAAACCAUCUAUAUCGCAUGGAUCACAUCGAUCCAUGUCACAUCAACAUGGAUCAUAGCCAUCAAUUUCAUAACCCCUCGGGUCACAACAAUCAGUAUCACAACCACUUGUGGUCCAUCCAGCUAUGUCACAGUCACAGGGAUCGCAUCCAUCUUCAUCGGGGACUCCAUCUAUUUCAGGCCUUCGCCUGCGAGAUACUAGCGCUGACCUCUCCUACACUUUCCACACAUGCCUCUGAUAUACAUGUUUUGGACGGUGAUGUUGAUACUAACAAGGAGGUGCAUUAUGAUCAAUAUGGCAGGAUCAUCAUAGUCCCUGAGGGUGACGGGUAAGAGUUAUUUGUUAUUUUUACGUUUAUUAUUUUGUACAGUUUUUACUAAGAUAUUAAUGUAUUUUUUUAUUAAAUUGCAGGUUGAUCCCGAGUAAUAUUACUACAAGGAUAAUCAAAAAAGCAACUACAAAGCUUUAUGAUGGCCCUUAUGCGUCUUGGAGUGAAAUCUCAUUCUCGCUAAAGGAGCAAAUUUUCAGUGAAUUUAAGGUAUAAAUAUUUUUUUAAACAGUAUAAUUAUUUAUAUUUAUGAUAUAUAUGUAUAUAUAUAUGUAUAUAUAUAUAUGUAUAUAUAUAUAUAUAUAUAUAUAUAUAUAUAUAUGUAUAUAUUACUGUUGAAAUAUAGAGCAAGUGUGUUUGGGAACAUUGCUAUAGCGCCGAUGUAGCUGCAAAUUUUCAUCUCAAAGCUCGCAAGCGGUUGUCACAUACUUUCUCCAAAGCUAGAAAGUUGAACAAGAAGCCUGACUGGUUGCUUCAGAAUUUACGGGAGGAUUUGCAAAGGCAAUGACUUACUGCAAAGUUCUUAGAGAAGAACGAAAAAGGAAAGAAAACUCGCACAUCUGAGAAGGGAGGAUCCUUUCACACUGGAGGUGCGAUCAGCCUAGGGACAAUAAAAAGAAGAACAGUACGUAAUUGCUUAAUUUAUUUUAAUUUUCAAAGUAUAUCUAUUCUAUUUAUUAACUAAAAAUAUGAGUUUUCAGGAAAAGAAGUUGGAGCAUCCGAUGAACCAACAUGAGCUAUUCAAGGAGACUCAUAUUGUGAAGAAGAAGAAAGAGACGGAUCAAGAAAGGUGUGUCAAGGGAUGAGCCUCAACUGUACAUAUAAGUUGUCACUUUUCGUUAAGUAUUUGACUUUUAUAUAAAUUUUUAAUAUUAAUUCAAAAUUUUCUUAUAGGGUCGCUUCACAGCUGAAGUGGAGGAAUUCAUACGCAGUCAGCCACCUAAUAAGUCGGGCGAGCCAAUUCAACCUUCGGACGAGGAUGCUCAAAGAAUGUGGACAGAGGCCGCAGACGGUCCAAAAUGGGGGAAGGUAUAUGGGCUUCCCACUAAGAAAUUCCAUCGUUAUAAGUGUGGAAUGCAAGGAAUAGGGACUUCCUCACAAGCUAAGAAACUUGAUGGGGAGAGCCUCUCCGCUAUGCGGGAGACUGUGACAAAGCUCACAUCUGAGCUAGAAGUGGCCAAGGAAAGAGAAAAGCUUAGAGAUGCUCAAUACAUUGGCAUGCAAGCUCAGUACCAGGGCAUGCAAGAGCAGCUCAAAUCUCUCCUACCUUCUGGAGCUUUUCCGAUUCCCCGAUCUUGUUAGUCAUCACCAGAGGCUCGCCUUCCCCAUGCUCGUCCUCCCGUCCUCUAAGUGCUCGUUCCUCUCGUCCUCGACAAGUAGACCCUUUUGAGUACCGUCAUGGUGAUGAAAGUUCAUCAGACGGUGAUGAUAAUGAUGUACAAAACACUCAUUGACUUUUAUACACUUUGAACUAGACAUGUAGAAUUGGUUUUCUUUUGGAGGUUGUAAUAAGAGUUAACUUAGCUUAGUUAGCUUAAUGUGGUAGUUCUAUUGAACUUUAAACUUCAUUGGUUUUAAUGUUAUAUUUUUGUUGUUGUUGUUGGUAUUAUUAUUGUUGUUGCUUGUAAUAGGGAUUUGGUAUGCUGGUAGGUGGUGUAGCUGCCAAAAUGGGCAGUUUCUGCCAAAAUAAUACCCAGAAAAAUGAUCAACUUUGGUCGCUUGUUGAUCGAUUUUCUAUUAAAAAAUAAAUUUAUUGGAAACAGCGACCAAUGUUGGUCGCUAAUUAAUCCAGAUUUCGUAAAAAGCGACCAACUUUGGUCGCUAUUCCAUUAAAAAAAAAACAAUUUCUGGAAAUAUAGCGGCCAAUUUUGGUCGCUUAUAUUUAAAAAAAUUAAAUUUAUGAAAUUAACGACCAAUUUUGGUCGAAAAAAAUUAAUAAAAUAGCGACCAACUUUGGUCUCUAUUUUUUAGAUUUUAAAAUAUAAUAUUUGGAUUAGAGACCAAAGUUGGUCGCUAUAUUUUAAUUAAUAAUAAAUUAAAAAAUGUAAUUUACAUGUAGAGACCAACGUUGGUCGCUAAAAUUAUAUUAUUAAAAUAUUAUAGCAACCAAAGUUGGUCGAUAUAUUCUUUACCCGAAAUAUUUGGUCUGUUUACCUUAGAAAUUAGCGACCAACUUUGGUCCCUAAAAUAAAGGGACCAGCAGUAUAGCGACCAGGCGACUUUGGUCGCUUUUUGUGCUUGCUUUUGCGAAUUUCUAGUGGUGUAAUAAGAUCAAUAACGGCUCUUUAUGGCCAAUAAUAAGUAAUAAAUGAAGAACAAUAAGUAGAGCACAACAAAUAUAAGCAAUAAAUGAAGUAAUGAACUCAAGAAAAUAUGUUAAAGAGUAGCUUGUGUAUUUAGUAUGGAGUGACGGAUAGAUGUUUACAAAAUGACAAGGAUCCUCUUUAUAUAUGAGGGAAAAUUCCAACAUAAUACAAAUACAUUUAUUACAAAGAUAUGGAGAUGGGAUAGCUAGUUAAUGCUAUGAUGCAGGAUUAGACUAGCCUGACAUACUUUGUCGGCUCUAGCUGCACGCCUUGGGAACUCUCCACUUUCUCUACAUAACCGUCGGUCCGUGCUGCUCCGAGGUGGAGCGUUGAUGGACCUCGAAAGAUGAAACUCGACCAUGGUUUUGAUCCUUCGAGAUGUCGUAACGAGGGAAAAUUGGACCCUCCGAUUUUACCGUACACAGAUUGAUUAAUAGAAAGUUGGACAAAAUGAAUCAUGAAAGAUUAAAUGAAGAAGCACAAAAUUUAUUGAUCUUAGAGUUACAAACAAAACUAAGAUGCUAUAGAAUCAGCUGUGGAAAUUUCCAUUUUCCCAGCUAUCUUCUUGUCACUUUAUAUCUCAUGUAUAAACUAUGUAAUCCAAAUCACUUGGGAAUUAAAAUUACCUAUUGAUAAACAAAGAAGAUGUAAAGGCGGAUAUACAUGUAGUAAACUGUAAAGCUAUAACAAAAUGGGACUGAUAUCUGAUAUCAAUAAGAAUCUGAAUUGCAAAAGCUAAUACUGUCUCGACAAGGCAUUAUGGUUCUCUGCGGAACCUGGUUAGCAAACUUGAGUUACUUUAGUUGUAACCAUUUCUGUGUACCUUUUGCCAUCUCCAUGCUAUGGCUAAACUCUCCUCAAGUGAAUACCUUGCUAUCCAGUUCAGUUCGCGCCUAAUUUUAGAAGGAUCGCUGUAGACUUCAGCGUAGUCUCCUGGACGUCUACUGAGGUAAUCAAUCUUUAUGUCCACUCCUGUUGCCCUUUUACAAUAGUCUCCUGGACGUCUACUGAGAUAAUCAAUCUUUAUGUCCACUCCUGUUGCCCUUUUACAGGCUUCCACAAAUUGUUUCACUGAACUACCUGUAAUGACAAGGACUUGACCAUCAAAAUGUCUUCUGGCGUACCAAUAUGCAGAGGCGGAUCCAGGAUUUAAAUUUAAUGAGUUCAAACUUCCACUGAACCCACUGUACUGUUAAAAUUAUGGGUUUAGAUCUAACAUGUAUUGAGAUUUAAAUUGGUUAAUAUAUAUAUAUAUGACGAAAGUUAUGGAUUCAGAUAAACGCAUAGCUUUUAGGCUACAUCCGCUUCUGCCAAUAUGAAUAUAUAAGUUUGCAACGAACAAAAUGUUCAAAAAGUAAUUUAUAAGUAGUAGG